Molecule: ribosomal RNA, 429 nt
Filed under: Verrucomicrobiota bacterium
Lineage: Bacteria; Pseudomonadati; Verrucomicrobiota
Description: Verrucomicrobia bacterium partial 16S ribosomal RNA
Rfam family: Bacterial small subunit ribosomal RNA
Source: RNAcentral
UAGGGAAUCUUCGGCAAUGGGGGGAACCCUGACCGAGCAACGCCGCGUGAGUGAAGAAGGAUUUCGGUUCGUAAAACUCUGUUGUUAGGGAAGAAAAAAUGUAUAGUAACUAUAUACAAAAGAGACGGUACCUAACCAGAAAGCCACGGCUAACUACGUGCCAGCAGCCGCGGUAAUACGUAGGUGGCAAGCGUUGUCCGGAAUUAUUGGGCGUAAAGCGCGCGCAGGUGGUUUAGAAAGUCUGAUGUGAAAGCCCACGGCUCAACCGUGGAGGGUCAUUGGAAACUAAUAAACUUGAGUGCAGGAGAGAAAAGUGGAAUUCCUAGUGUAGCGGUGAAAUGCGUAGAGAUUAGGAGGAACACCGGUGGCGAAAGCGGCUUUUUGGCCUGCAACUGACACUGAGGCGCGAAAGCGUGGGGAGCAAACAGG